GUCCUGGUAUAACGGUAAAACCGCACUGCUUAAUGACGUUGGGUUCGGUGCGGUCGGUGGUUCGACUCCACUCUAGGACA
This is a non-coding RNA of Mycena latifolia, 80 nucleotides long. The record is from the annotation of a GenBank genome assembly. NCBI's taxonomy places the organism in Eukaryota, Fungi, Basidiomycota, Agaricomycetes, Agaricales, Mycenaceae.